Molecule: ribosomal RNA, 1354 nt
Filed under: uncultured bacterium
Lineage: Bacteria
Description: bacterial SSU rRNA
Rfam family: Bacterial small subunit ribosomal RNA
Source: RNAcentral
CCGGCUCAGGACGAACGCUGGCGGCGCGCCUAACACAUGCAAGUCGAACGAGAGAUGAGGAGCUUGCUCUUCAAAUCGAGUGGCGAACGGGUGAGUAACGCGUGAGGAACCUGCCUCAAAGAGGGGGACAACAGUUGGAAACGACUGCUAAUACCGCAUAAGCCCACGGCUCGGCAUCGAGCAGAGGGAAAAGGAGCAAUCCGCUUUGAGAUGGCCUCGCGUCCGAUUAGCUAGUUGGUGAGGUAACGGCCCACCAAGGCGACGAUCGGUAGCCGGACUGAGAGGUUGAACGGCCACAUUGGGACUGAGACACGGCCCAGACUCCUACGGGAGGCAGCAGUGGGGAAUAUUGCACAAUGGGGGAAACCCUGAUGCAGCGACGCCGCGUGGAGGAAGAAGGUCUUCGGAUUGUAAACUCCUGUUGUUGAGGAAGAUAAUGACGGUACUCAACAAGGAAGUGACGGCUAACUACGUGCCAGCAGCCGCGGUAAAACGUAGGUCACAAGCGUUGUCCGGAAUUACUGGGUGUAAAGGGAGCGCAGGCGGGAAGACAAGUUGGAAGUGAAAUCUAUGGGCUCAACCCAUAAACUGCUUUCAAAACUGUUUUUCUUGAGUAGUGCAGAGGUAGGCGGAAUUCCCGGUGUAGCGGUGGAAUGCGUAGAUAUCGGGAGGAACACCAGUGGCGAAGGCGGCCUACUGGGCACCAACUGACGCUGAGGCUCGAAAGUGUGGGUAGCAAACAGGAUUAGAUACCCUGGUAGUCCACACCGUAAACGAUGAUUACUAGGUGUUGGAGGAUUGACCCCUUCAGUGCCGCAGUUAACACAAUAAGUAAUCCACCUGGGGAGUACGACCGCAAGGUUGAAACUCAAAGGAAUUGACGGGGGCCCGCACAAGCAGUGGAGUAUGUGGUUUAAUUCGACGCAACGCGAAGAACCUUACCAAGUCUUGACAUCCCUUGACAGGCAUAGAAAUAUGUUUUCUCUUCGGAGCAAGGAGACAGGUGGUGCAUGGUUGUCGUCAGCUCGUGUCGUGAGAUGUUGGGUUAAGUCCCGCAACGAGCGCAACCCUUAUGGUCAGUUACUACGUAAGAGGACUCUGGCCAGACUGCCGUUGACAAAACGGAGGAAGGUGGGGAUGACGUCAAAUCAUCAUGCCCUUUAUGACUUGGGCUACACACGUACUACAAUGGCGUUAAACAAAGAGAAGCAAGACCGCGAGGUGGAGCAAAACUCAGAAACAACGUCCCAGUUCGGACUGCAGGCUGCAACUCGCCUGCACGAAGUCGGAAUUGCUAGUAAUCGUGGAUCAGCAUGCCACGGUGAAUACGUUCCCGGGCCUUGUACACACCGCC